CGGUGGAUGAUGACACCAGACUUUGUUAAUGUUUAUUUAUUCUUUUACCGUAUGUUACUUUAUAUCAUGAAGAGAAAGAGGAGAGAAACCCUUCAUAUAAAGAUUGACUAUGGAGAGUUUCCAACAAACAGAGCAGAAAGUGACAUUUUGUGCAGAUGCAUCGAUCAGACGCAGUCUCAAUGCUAUUUGAAAAAUAUCGGAUUCAACAGAAGGCUGAAAAUAGCCAGCCAGUCUGAGGAUCUUGCAGGCCUGCGCCGAAAUGCACCGGGGAUCAGACCGAGGAGCUGGUGGGGUUUCAUCUGGGAUGGAUAUCCAGGUGAGGACAGACGAUGGAAGAAGACGAAGAAAGGGACCCGGCUGAAUCUCUUGAUGUUACCUUAUUUAUUAAGAUUUCGAUCGGAGGAGGUGCGUUCAGGGAUCCAGAAGUUGGAUUUGUCUUGGAUCUGAGAAGCAGAGAAAAGUUUUGCUGUUGGGAAAAGCUGCACCACAUGCAGGAGUUUGCAAACAAACAAGUUGAACCAGUGAACACAGACAACGUCCACUAGAAGUCAAGGUCAAGACGGGCUGACAGAGACAAGCAGAGGGAGACUCACACUUAUGAGAACCGUCUGAAGGAAGCUUUGCAUGAAAAACAUCCCUUCAAUGUUCAACUUUAAAACUCUUAAACUGUUUUUUUUUUCUGUAAUUGCUUGUGACUGAAACAUAAUUAAUUGACUGUGACUGGUUUUGCAAUUAAACUUCAAUGCGAAAAACCA
This is a long non-coding RNA of Poecilia reticulata (guppy), 755 nucleotides long. RefSeq lists it as uncharacterized. The record is from RefSeq and is a predicted model, not a curated record. Lineage: Eukaryota; Metazoa; Chordata; Actinopteri; Cyprinodontiformes; Poeciliidae.